AGAGUACUCCCUCCGUUCGAAAAAGAUUGUCCCUUAAAUGAUUGUAUCUAGCACCAAGUUAGUGUUAGAUACAUCCAUUUGAGGCACAAACUUGAGACAAGUUUUUUCGGACGAAGGGAGUAUAAG
This is a non-coding RNA of Triticum aestivum (bread wheat), 126 nucleotides long. The record is from Rfam. NCBI's taxonomy places the organism in Eukaryota, Viridiplantae, Streptophyta, Magnoliopsida, Poales, Poaceae.